CAGGACGAAGCUAAAAUAGUUAAGCAUCUCCCUUACACCGAGAAGUUAUCUGUGCAAGUCAGAUCGUCCUGA
Molecule: transfer RNA, 72 nt
Filed under: Saurida eso
Lineage: Eukaryota; Metazoa; Chordata; Actinopteri; Aulopiformes; Synodontidae
Description: tRNA-Val
Rfam family: tRNA
About the family: Transfer RNA (tRNA) molecules are approximately 80 nucleotides in length. Their secondary structure includes four short double-helical elements and three loops (D, anti-codon, and T loops). Further hydrogen bonds mediate the characteristic L-shaped molecular structure. tRNAs have two regions of fundamental functional importance: the anti-codon, which is responsible for specific mRNA codon recognition, and the 3' end, to which the tRNAs corresponding amino acid is attached (by aminoacyl-tRNA synthetases). tRNAs cope with the degeneracy of the genetic code in two manners: having more than one tRNA (with a specific anti-codon) for a particular amino acid; and 'wobble' base-pairing, i.e. permitting non-standard base-pairing at the 3rd anti-codon position.
Source: RNAcentral